GAUGAACGCUAGCGGCAGGCUUAACACAUGCAAGUCGAGGGGCAGCAGGGAGUAGCAAUACUCUGCUGGCGACCGGCGCACGGGUGCGUAACGCGUAUGCAACCUACCCACUACAGGGGGAUAACGGAGGGAAACUUCCACUAAUAUCCCAUAGUGUUGUUUUUUCGCAUGGAGAGACAACUAAAGCCACGGUGGUAGUGGAUGGGCAUGCGUGACAUUAGGUAGUUGGCGGGGCAACGGCCCACCAAGCCGACGAUGUCUAGGGGAGCUGAGAGGCUUAUCCCCCACACUGGUACUGAGACACGGACCAGACUCC
Molecule: ribosomal RNA, 316 nt
Filed under: uncultured Bacteroidales bacterium
Lineage: Bacteria; Pseudomonadati; Bacteroidota; Bacteroidia; Bacteroidales
Description: bacterial SSU rRNA
Rfam family: Bacterial small subunit ribosomal RNA
Source: RNAcentral